GCGGGUCAUUGUAGCAAUACAAGGCAGACGGCUCAGUAACGCGUAGUCAACCUACCCUAUGGACGGGAAUAACCUCGGGAAACUGAGAAUAAUGCCCGAUAGAACACUAUACCUGGAAUGGUUUGUGUUUCAAAUGAUUUAUCGCCGUAGGAUGGGACUGCGGCCUAUCAGUUUGUUGGUGAGGUAAUGGCCCACCAAGACUAUUACAGGUACGGGCUCUGAGAGGAGUGGCCCGGAGAUGGGUACUGAGACACGGACCCAGGCCCUAUGGGGCGCAGCAGGCGAGAAAACUUUGCAAUGUGCGAAAGCACGACAAGGUUAAUCCGAGUGAUUUGUGCUAAACGAAUCUUUUGUUAGUUCUAGAAAUACUAACGAAUAAGGGGUGGGCAAGUUCUGGUGUCAGCCGCCGCGGUAAAACCAGCACCUCAAGUGGUCAGGAUGAUUAUUGGGCCUAAAGCAUCCGUAGCCGGCUCUGUAAGUUUUCGGUUAAAUCUGUACGCUUAACGUACAGGCUGCCGGGAAUACUGCAGAGCUAGGGAGUGGGAGAGGUAGACGGUACUCGGUAGGAAGGGGUAAAAUCCUUUGAUCUAUUGAUGACCACCUGUGGCGAAGGCGGUCUACCAGAACACGUCCGACGGUGAGGGAUGAAAGCUGGGGGAGCAAACCGGAUUAGAUACCCGGGUAGUCCCAGCUGUAAACUAUGCAAACUCAGUGAUGCAUUGACUUGUGGUCAAUGCAGUGCUGCAGG
Molecule: ribosomal RNA, 748 nt
Filed under: uncultured archaeon
Lineage: Archaea
Description: bacterial SSU rRNA
Rfam family: Archaeal small subunit ribosomal RNA
Source: RNAcentral